RNAcentral lists this ribosomal RNA (270 nucleotides) under uncultured bacterium. RNAcentral describes it as "partial 16S ribosomal RNA". It matches the Rfam family "Bacterial small subunit ribosomal RNA", at positions 88 to 354 of the family's 1533-position model. The record is from RNAcentral.
AUGGCGACCGGCGCACGGGUGAGUAACGCGUAUCCAACCUGCCCUUUACGUAUGGGACAGCCCGUCGAAAGGCGGAUUAAUACCGUAUGUUGUCAUGUUGAUGCAUAUUUUCAUGACCAAAGGCUUCGGCCGGUAAAGGAUGGGGAUGCGUCUGAUUAGCUUGCCGGCGGGGUAACGGCCCACCGGGGCGACGAUCAGUAGGGGUUCUGAGAGGAAGGUCCCCCCACAUUGGAACUGAGACACGGUCCAAACUCCUACGGGAGGCAGCAG